RNAcentral lists this ribosomal RNA (2926 nucleotides) under Staphylococcus aureus. RNAcentral's name for it is "23S ribosomal RNA". It matches the Rfam family "Bacterial large subunit ribosomal RNA". Lineage: Bacteria; Bacillati; Bacillota; Bacilli; Caryophanales; Staphylococcaceae. The record is from RNAcentral.
GAUUAAGUUAUUAAGGGCGCACGGUGGAUGCCUUGGCACUAGAAGCCGAUGAAGGACGUUACUAACGACGAUAUGCUUUGGGGAGCUGUAAGUAAGCUUUGAUCCAGAGAUUUCCGAAUGGGGAAACCCAGCAUGAGUUAUGUCAUGUUAUCGAUAUGUGAAUACAUAGCAUAUCAGAAGGCACACCCGGAGAACUGAAACAUCUUAGUACCCGGAGGAAGAGAAAGAAAAUUCGAUUCCCUUAGUAGCGGCGAUCGANNUNUGANNNANNGCCCAAACCAACAAGCUUGCUUNUUGGGGUUGUAGGACACUCUAUACGGAGUUACAAAGGACGACAUUAGACGAAUCAUCUGGAAAGAUGAAUCAAAGAAGGUAAUAAUCCUGUAGUCGAAAAUGUUGUCUCUCUUGAGUGGAUCCUGAGUACGACGGAGCACGUGAAAUUCCGUCGGAAUCUGGGAGGACCAUCUCCUAAGGCUAAAUACUCUCUAGUGACCGAUAGUGAACCAGUACCGUGAGGGAAAGGUGAAAAGCACCCCGGAAGGGGAGUGAAAUAGAACCUGAAACCGUGUGCUUACAAGUAGUCAGAGCCCGUUAAUGGGUGAUGGCGUGCCUUUUGUAGAAUGAACCGGCGAGUUACGAUUUGAUGCAAGGUUAAGCAGUAAAUGUGGAGCCGUAGCGAAAGCGAGUCUGAAUAGGGCGUUUAGUAUUUGGUCGUAGACCCGAAACCAGGUGAUCUACCCUUGGUCAGGUUGAAGUUCAGGUAACACUGAAUGGAGGACCGAACCGACUUACGUUGAAAAGUGAGCGGAUGAACUGAGGGUAGCGGAGAAAUUCCAAUCGAACCUGGAGAUAGCUGGUUCUCUCCGAAAUAGCUUUAGGGCUAGCCUCAAGUGAUGAUUAUUGGAGGUAGAGCACUGUUUGGACGAGGGGCCCCUCUCGGGUUACCGAAUUCAGACAAACUCCGAAUGCCAAUUAAUUUAACUUGGGAGUCAGAACAUGGGUGAUAAGGUCCGUGUUCGAAAGGGAAACAGCCCAGACCACCAGCUAAGGUCCCAAAAUAUAUGUUAAGUGGAAAAGGAUGUGGCGUUGCCCAGACAACUAGGAUGUUGGCUUAGAAGCAGCCAUCAUUUAAAGAGUGCGUAAUAGCUCACUAGUCGAGUGACACUGCGCCGAAAAUGUACCGGGGCUAAACAUAUUACCGAAGCUGUGGAUUGUCCUUUGGACAAUGGUAGGAGAGCGUUCUAAGGGCGUUGAAGCAUGAUCGUAAGGACAUGUGGAGCGCUUAGAAGUGAGAANGCCGGUGUGNGNCGCGAAAGACGGGUGAGAAUCCCGUCCACCGAUUGACUAAGGUUUCCAGAGGAAGGCUCGUCCGCUCUGGGUUAGUCGGGUCCUAAGCUGAGGCCGACAGGCGUAGGCGAUGGAUAACAGGUUGAUAUUCCUGUACCACCUAUAAUCGUUUUAAUCGAUGGGGGGACGCAGUAGGAUAGGCGAAGCGUGCGAUUGGAUUGCACGUCUAAGCAGUAAGGCUGAGUAUUAGGCAAAUCCGGUACUCGUUAAGGCUGAGCUGUGAUGGGGAGAAGACAUUGAGUCUUCGAGUCGUUGAUUUCACACUGCCGAGAAAAGCCUCUAGAUAGAAAAUAGGUGCCCGUACCGCAAACCGACACAGGUAGUCAAGAUGAGAAUUCUAAGGUGAGCGAGCGAACUCUCGUUAAGGAACUCGGCAAAAUGACCCCGUAACUUCGGGAGAAGGGGUGCUCUUUAGGGUUAACGCCCAGAAGAGCCGCAGUGAAUAGGCCCAAGCGACUGUUUAUCAAAAACACAGGUCUCUGCUAAACCGUAAGGUGAUGUAUAGGGGCUGACGCCUGCCCGGUGCUGGAAGGUUAAGAGGAGUGGUUAGCUUCUGCGAAGCUACGAAUCGAAGCCCCAGUAAACGGCGGCCGUAACUAUAACGGUCCUAAGGUAGCGAAAUUCCUUGUCGGGUAAGUUCCGACCCGCACGAAAGGCGUAACGAUUUGGGCACUGUCUCAACGAGAGACUCGGUGAAAUCAUAGUACCUGUGAAGAUGCAGGUUACCCGCGACAGGACGGAAAGACCCCGUGGAGCUUUACUGUAGCCUGAUAUUGAAAUUCGGCACAGCUUGUACAGGAUAGGUAGGAGCCUUUGAAACGUGAGCGCUAGCUUACGUGGAGGCGCUGGUGGGAUACUACCCUAGCUGUGUUGGCUUUCUAACCCGCACCACUUAUCGUGGUGGGAGACAGUGUCAGGCGGGCAGUUUGACUGGGGCGGUCGCCUCCUAAAAGGUAACGGAGGCGCUCAAAGGUUCCCUCAGAAUGGUUGGAAAUCAUUCAUAGAGUGUAAAGGCAUAAGGGAGCUUGACUGCGAGACCUACAAGUCGAGCAGGGUCGAAAGACGGACUUAGUGAUCCGGUGGUUCCGCAUGGAAGGGCCAUCGCUCAACGGAUAAAAGCUACCCCGGGGAUAACAGGCUUAUCUCCCCCAAGAGUUCACAUCGACGGGGAGGUUUGGCACCUCGAUGUCGGCUCAUCGCAUCCUGGGGCUGUAGUCGGUCCCAAGGGUUGGGCUGUUCGCCCAUUAAAGCGGUACGCGAGCUGGGUUCAGAACGUCGUGAGACAGUUCGGUCCCUAUCCGUCGUGGGCGUAGGAAAUUUGAGAGGAGCUGUCCUUAGUACGAGAGGACCGGGAUGGACAUACCUCUGGUGUACCAGUUGUCGUGCCAACGGCAUAGCUGGGUAGCUAUGUGUGGACGGGAUAAGUGCUGAAAGCAUCUAAGCAUGAAGCCCCCCUCAAGAUGAGAUUUCCCAACUUCGGUUAUAAGAUCCCUCAAAGAUGAUGAGGUUAAUAGGUUCGAGGUGGAAGCAUGGUGACAUGUGGAGCUGACGAAUACUAAUCGAUCGAAGACUUAAUCAA